UCUCCUGGAAACGGGUGGUAAUGCCGGAUGCUCCAUCACACCGCAUGGUGUGUUGGGAAAGCCUUUGCGGCAUGGGAUGGGGUCGCGUCCUAUCAGCUUGAUGGCGGGGUAACGGCCCACCAUGGCUUCGACGGGUAGCCGGCCUGAGAGGGCGACCGGCCACAUUGGGACUGAGAUACGGCCCAGACUCCUACGGGAGGCAGCAGUGGGGAAUAUUGCACAAUGGGCGCAAGCCUGAUGCAGCGACGCCGCGUGAGGGAUGGAGGCCUUCGGGUUGUAAACCUCUUUUGUUAGGGAGCAAGGCAUUUUUUGUUGAGUGUACCUUUCGAAUAAGCACCGGCUAACUACGUGCCAGCAGCCGCGGUAAUACGUAGGGUGCAAGCGUUAUCCGGAAUUAUUGGGCGUAAAGGGCUCGUAGGCGGUUCGUCGCGUCCGGUGUGAAAGUCCAUCGCUUAACGGUGGAUCCGCGCCGGGUACGGGCGGGCUUGAGUGCGGUAGGGGAGACUGGAAUUCCCGGUGUAACGGUGGAAUGUGUAGAUAUCGGAAAAGAACACCA
Molecule: ribosomal RNA, 556 nt
Filed under: Bifidobacterium breve
Lineage: Bacteria; Bacillati; Actinomycetota; Actinomycetes; Bifidobacteriales; Bifidobacteriaceae
Description: bacterial SSU rRNA
Rfam family: Bacterial small subunit ribosomal RNA
Source: RNAcentral